GAUGAAGAACGUAGCGAAAUGCGAUAAGUAAUGUGAAUUGCAGAAUUCAGUGAAUCAUCGAAUCUUUGAACGCACAUGGCGCCUUCCAGUAUCCUGGGAGGCAUGCCUGUCCGAGCGUCGUUUCAACCCUCGAGCCCCCGUGGCCCGGCGUUGGGGAUCUGCCACGGCAGGCCCCUAAAACCAGUGGCGGACCCGAAGGCCCUCUCCUUUGCGCAGUAGCAUCAGCCUCGCAUUGGGAUCGCUCGGCGUCCUGCCUCUAAACCCCCCACAAGUCCGCUCCGGCGGCACCAAGGUUGACCUCGGAUCAGGUAGGAAUACCCGCUGAACUUAAGCAUAUCAAUAAGCGGAGGA
RNAcentral lists this unclassified non-coding RNA (351 nucleotides) under soil metagenome. Its description in RNAcentral is "partial contains 5.8S ribosomal RNA, internal transcribed spacer 2, and large subunit ribosomal RNA". The stretch from base 1 to 120 matches the Rfam family "5.8S ribosomal RNA", at positions 35 to 154 of the family's 154-position model. The record is from RNAcentral.